RNAcentral lists this ribosomal RNA (484 nucleotides) under uncultured bacterium. RNAcentral's name for it is "partial 16S ribosomal RNA". It matches the Rfam family "Bacterial small subunit ribosomal RNA", at positions 28 to 507 of the family's 1533-position model. The record is from RNAcentral.
GAUGAACGCUAGCGGGAGGCCUAACACAUGCAAGCCGAGCGGUAUUUGUUCUUCGGAACAGAGAGAGCGGCGCACGGGUGCGGAACACGUGUGCAACCUGCCUUUAUCUGGGGGAUAGCCUUUCGAAAGGAAGAUUAAUACCCCAUAAUAUAUUGAGUGGCAUCAUUUGAUAUUGAAAACUCCGGUGGAUAGAGAUGGGCACGCGCAAGAUUAGAUAGUUGGUGAGGUAACGGCUCACCAAGUCAAUGAUCUUUAGGGGACCUGAGAGGGUGAUCGGCCACACUGGAACUGAGACACGGACCAGACUGCUACGGGAGGCAGCAGUAGGGAAUCUUCCGAAAUGGGCGAAAGCCUGACGGAGCAACGCCGCGUGAGUGGUGAAGGUCUUCGGAUCGUAAAACUCUGUUAUUAGGGAAGAACAUAUGUGUAAGUAACUGUGCACAUCUUGACGGUACCUAAUCAGAAAGCCACGGCUAACUACGUG